Molecule: long non-coding RNA, 616 nt
Filed under: Homo sapiens (human)
Lineage: Eukaryota; Metazoa; Chordata; Mammalia; Primates; Hominidae
Description: HSALNT0370897
Source: RNAcentral
GAUAAACCGACACUUUCCCAACCGCUUCACCACCCCUCAGCGACUUCCGCUUCCGGCGACUCCGAUCUCGCUCUGUCACCCAGGCUGGAGUGCAAUGGCAUGAUCUUGGCUCACUGCAACCUCAACUUCCCUGGCUGAAGUGAUCUUCCCACCUCAGCCUCCCAAGUAUCUGGGACUACAGAUGGGGAAACUGAAGCCCUAGAGGAAAAGAAGACUAAAUGUAUUACCAUCUGACCCACUUCCUGGCCAGCCUGUUCACCUGUCUGCUGUUCUUCAUUGAACAAGAGAAGGAAUCACAAUUGGUCCAUGACAGUCACGGUCAUCUCAUUCCUCUUGCCAGUGGCAGGUGUAUGUGUGAGUUUGCAGCUCAAUCCUGGCCAAGGGGAUCCAAGGACUGCUGAAGAGGCAUGUCUGCACAUGUCACCUAGAACAUCUCCAGCCAUCAUGUGAUCUCUGGGGGAGGCAUUCCCAACUCUCUGAGAGAAGCAGACCAGAAAGAUGGAAAGAAAGCACCUGGCUCCAGGAUGAUGACAUUGAGCCGAUGAAUUAACCACCUUUGUGCUGCUCUAACCUUCAGAGUUCACCUUAACAUGAGAAAAUAAAACCCUUAUUGCUU